Molecule: ribosomal RNA, 497 nt
Filed under: uncultured bacterium
Lineage: Bacteria
Description: partial 16S ribosomal RNA
Rfam family: Bacterial small subunit ribosomal RNA
Source: RNAcentral
GAUGAACGCUGGCGGCGUGCCUAAUACAUGCAAGUCGAGCGAACAGAUAAGGAGCUUGUUCCUUUGACGUUAGCGGCGGACGGGUGAGUAACACGUGGGUAACCUACCUAUAAGACUGGGAUAACUUCGGGAAACCGGAGCUAAUACCGGAUAACAUUUGGAACCGCAUGGUUCUAAAGUGAAAGAUGGUUUUGCUAUCACUUAUAGAUGGACCCGCGCCGUAUUAGCUAGUUGGUAAGGUAACGGCUUACCAAGGCAACGAUACGUAGCCGACCUGAGAGGGUGAUCGGCCACACUGGAACUGAGACACGGUCCAGACUCCUACGGGAGGCAGCAGUAGGGAAUCUUCCGCAAUGGGCGAAAGCCUGACGGAGCAACGCCGCGUGAGUGAUGAAGGGUUUCGGCUCGUAAAACUCUGUUAUUAGGGAAGAACAAACGUGUAAGUAACUGUGCACGUCUUGACGGUACCUAAUCAGAAAGCCACGGCUAACUACGUG